AUGUUUCUUUUAUUUAGUUUUCCUAUUUAUUUAAGAAAAAAGUAAAUAUUUUUUGUCAUGUCAACAUCUGAACGAUAGACUUGAUACGUGUCACGAUCACGCGAGUUAGUAACUUUGAAAACCAUACUUUAUAUAAUAAGAUUAUAGGAAAUAUACUCUAUUCUACAAAAAGUCAUUCAUGAACCAAUUUGCUUACAUGAGAGAAAAGGCAAUUACGAUUUCGAGAGUUCUUAGCUAAACAAUCUGCUCGAGUAUUAAAACUACGAGCUAAUGCUGAAAGAAGAGAAAAAACAAACUAAAUACCAAAAAGAGGCCAAUUCCGUUGCAAAAGUUGGUCAAUCGUCUUGGUGAUCAACGAGAGAGAUCAAAUCUGCGCAAUCGGUAGCAAAGGUAUCUGUAUCGCCAAUGCUGAUCAUGCAUUCCAUUGCCCCUAGC
This 435-nucleotide small RNA is filed under the name Arabidopsis thaliana (thale cress). Its description in RNAcentral is "ATSL097140". Lineage: Eukaryota; Viridiplantae; Streptophyta; Magnoliopsida; Brassicales; Brassicaceae. The record is from RNAcentral.